This 743-nucleotide ribosomal RNA is filed under the name uncultured bacterium. Its description in RNAcentral is "bacterial SSU rRNA". It matches the Rfam family "Bacterial small subunit ribosomal RNA", at positions 94 to 823 of the family's 1533-position model. The record is from RNAcentral.
AGCGGCGGAUGGGUGAGUAACACGUGGGGAACCCGCCCCUAAGUCUGGGAUACCAUUUGGAAACAGGUGCUAAUACCGGAUAAUAAAGCAGAUCGCAUGAUCAGCUUUUGAAAGGCGGCGUAAGCUGUCGCUAAGGGAUGGCCCCGCGGUGCAUUAGCUAGUUGGUAAGGUAACGGCUUACCAAGGCGACGAUGCAUAGCCGAGUUGAGAGACUGAUCGGCCACAUUGGGACUGAGACACGGCCCAAACUCCUACGGGAGGCAGCAGUAGGGAAUCUUCCACAAUGGACGCAAGUCUGAUGGAGCAACGCCGCGUGAGUGAAGAAGGUUUUCGGAUCGUAAAGCUCUGUUGUUGGUGAAGAAGGAUAGAGGUAGUAACUGGCCUUUAUUUGACGGUAAUCAACCAGAAAGUCACGGCUAACUACGUGCCAGCAGCCGCGGUAAUACGUAGGUGGCAAGCGUUGUCCAGAUUUAUUGGGUGUAAAGCGAGCGCAGGCGGAAAAAUAAGUCUAAUGUGAAAGCCCUCGGCUUAACCGAGGAACUACAUCGGAAACUGUUUUUCUUGAGUGCAGAAGAGGAGAGUGGAACUCCAUGUGUAGCGGUGGAAUGCGUAGAUAUAUGGAAGAACACCAGUGGCGAAGGCGGCUCUCUGGUCUGCAACUGACGCUGAGGCUCGAAAGCAUGGGUAGCGAACAGGAUUAGAUACCCUGGUAGUCCAUGCCGUAAACGAUGAGUGCUAAGUGU